RNAcentral lists this transfer RNA (76 nucleotides) under Rhodopseudomonas palustris. Its description in RNAcentral is "tRNA-Asn". It matches the Rfam family "tRNA". Rfam says of the family: Transfer RNA (tRNA) molecules are approximately 80 nucleotides in length. Lineage: Bacteria; Pseudomonadati; Pseudomonadota; Alphaproteobacteria; Hyphomicrobiales; Nitrobacteraceae. The record is from RNAcentral.
UGGGAUGUAGCUCAACUGGUAGAGCACCGCACUGUUAAUGCGGGAGAUGCAGGUUCGAACCCUGCCGCCCCAGCCA